Poecilia latipinna (sailfin molly) is the source of this 644-nucleotide long non-coding RNA. RefSeq lists it as uncharacterized. The transcript is spliced from 2 exons. The record is from RefSeq and is a predicted model, not a curated record. Lineage: Eukaryota; Metazoa; Chordata; Actinopteri; Cyprinodontiformes; Poeciliidae.
AAAAAACACAAAUGGCUUCUGUAGUGCAUACUGCAGCUUUUAUAUAUACAGUGCAGUAUAUGUGGCUAUUUGGGCGCUUAUAUUUUGCUUUUUUCCUACUUUUUUUUGCCACGGUUAAAUAAUAAUAGUGAUAAUAAACUAUAAUGUCAUAAAAACAUAAUAAGGAUGACCAUAAGUGCUUUAGAUUAUUAAUUUUAUUUAAAGGUGACCCAUUGAGCAGGUUAGGAUCAGUCUAUGGGCUACAACGAAAUAUAUUCACUACAUUUUUUACACAACAUCCUUCUGAGAUAAUGAGAUUUUAGUCUGUGUCAGUGUGUUCUGAUGAAAUGUUCUGGAACUCAGCUUGGGUUGCUUGGUAACGGGCAGAGUUCCACUGGGGUUGCUAGGUAACGGGUCUGGGCUUCUCUGGGGUUACUAGGUAACGGGGAUGGGCUUGGCUGGGGUUGCUUGGUAACAGUGCAGUGCCCCUUGAGUGUGACUUAAUAAUCGGGCUGUUUUUGUUUUGUUUUCCCACACACACAAAAAUAUUAACUUUUUGCCAAAAAGUGACAGGGUGUUUUUUUUUUUUUUAAGUGCUUGGGCUGUUUUCCAAAGCAUUUGAGAUACAAACGGAAGUAUAAAAGUGAGCCAAAUUAUGAAUUUUG